Carassius auratus (goldfish) is the source of this 664-nucleotide non-coding RNA. The record is from the annotation of a RefSeq genome assembly. NCBI's taxonomy places the organism in Eukaryota, Metazoa, Chordata, Actinopteri, Cypriniformes, Cyprinidae.
CAGCUCUAAAGAUCCUAAGUGCCAUCAUAGAUGCACUAUUUCAGCACGAUGCUGCUCACCACAGUUAUCCUGCUCUGUGCUGUUGGGAGUGGAAGUUUUGAGAGUCCCAUUUCAUCAGACCAAACUGAGGUUAUUCACGAGGAGGGUGCAAGUAUAACUUUGUCCUGUAGUUACUCAACUGCAGUUAGUUUAUAUUGGUACCGCCAAUAUCCCAGAUCAGCUCCUGAAUAUCUUUUAUCAGUUUUUCAAACCUCUGGACGGGUCCAGAGCGCAGAGAAUCUGGAUUCUCGGUUUUCAGCAGGACUGAAUGACAAGAAAAACCGUGUGGAUCUGAUCGUCUCCUCUGUCAAAGUGACAGAUUCUGAUCUGUACUACUGUGCUCUGCAGCCCACAGUGACAGGAAACCUUUACACACUGUACAAAAACCUGCCUAGAAAAAAAACAUGUUCUCCUGGACGCAUACCUUGUAAACUUCUUUCAACAAGUUAAGAUACUGUAACACAUAAACAGUGUAAGCCCUAAUAAGAAAAAUAUGUAAUUAUAAAAGAAGUCAAAUAUCAUUAUCUAUCUUUUUACUAGAAUGAAUCUGCCAUCUAGCGGUUCUUUAGGCUCAGUACACUGGAUUACUGGUGAAAUAUUUAUAGUGAAAAUUUAAUAUAGCACU